RNAcentral lists this ribosomal RNA (253 nucleotides) under bacterium. Its description in RNAcentral is "partial 16S ribosomal RNA". It matches the Rfam family "Bacterial small subunit ribosomal RNA", at positions 524 to 776 of the family's 1533-position model. RNAcentral also lists the same sequence under 1 other name. The record is from RNAcentral.
UACGAAGGGGGCUAGCGUUGUUCGGAAUUACUGGGCGUAAAGCGCACGUAGGCGGGUCGUUAAGUCAGGGGUGAAAUCCCGGAGCUCAACUCCGGAACUGCCUUUGAUACUGGCGAUCUAGAGAUCGGAAGAGGUGAGUGGAAUUCCCAGUGUAGAGGUGAAAUUCGUAGAUAUUGGGAAGAACACCAGUGGCGAAGGCGGCUCACUGGUCCGAUACUGACGCUGAGGUGCGAAAGCGUGGGGAGCAAACAGG